This 482-nucleotide ribosomal RNA is filed under the name uncultured bacterium. RNAcentral's name for it is "partial 16S ribosomal RNA". It matches the Rfam family "Bacterial small subunit ribosomal RNA", at positions 28 to 507 of the family's 1533-position model. The record is from RNAcentral.
GACGAACGCUGGCGGCGUGCUUAACACAUGCAAGUCGAACGGAAAGGCCCUUCGGGGUACUCGAGUGGCGAACGGGUGAGUAACACGUGGGUGAUCUGCCCUGCACUUUGGGAUAAGACUGGGCAACUGGGUCUAAUACCGAAUAGGACCGCGCGCUUCAUUGAGUGUGGUGGAAAGCUUUUGCGGUGUGGGAUGGGUCCGCGGCCUCUCAGCUUGUUGGUGGGGUAAUGGCCUACCAAGGCGACGACGGGUAGCCGGCCUGAGAGGGUGACCGGCCACACUGGGAGUGAGACACGGGCCAGACUGCUAAGGGAGGCAGCAGUGGGGAAUUUUGGACAAUGGGCGAAAGCAUGAUCCAGAAAUGCCGCGUGUGUGAAGACGGCCUUCGGGUUGUAAAGAACUUUUGUACGGAAAGAAAUCCUUGGACCUAAUACGGUCGGGGGAUGACGGUACCGGAAGAAUAAGCACCGGCUAACUACGUG